AGUAUUACCUAAAUUUCUAUAUAAGACAGGAAGAUUAAAGGUAUCAAUCAGACUGAAAGAUACAGGUUCACUGAAGAUAAAUGAUGACUUCCUAUUUUAUCCUGACAAAGUUAUUCCUUUGUUUGGCAAUAAUUUUUCAAGAAACAAAUGCAAGUGAUGAAUCAAUUGUUGCCUUCCAUGCGUACGUAUCAAAUAAUCUGAUCUUACCUAGAAACAUGCCUGUCAACGUUGUCUAUGACAAAUUAUUUUUCAACUACGGACACGCGUACAAUCCUCACAGCGGCUUCUUCACAGCGCCAUCUGCCGGGCUUUAUGUUUUCUCUUGGUCAAGCGUUGUUAGAUCUGGGAAACUAUUUGACGCAGAAAUUUUAGUUAAUGGACAUCGGAAAGGAUUGGGCAAUUGCAACAAUGAACAUAGUCGUGGGUAUGAAAACUGCGCAAACACGCUUCCCUUGGUCUUAAACACAAGAGAUACAGUCAAUAUUCGAACAACGAACGCAAAUAGUCUUGAAAGACUUUGGUCAUCUUUUAAAGGAUGGAAAGUUUAAUUACAUAAUUAAACAUAUUUGGAUUUGUUCUCUUUAUCUUGUUAAAAUUUCUAAUUAUGCAUGAUAAAGAAUAUAAAAUAAAACAACAUGUACUCUU
Magallana angulata is the source of this 645-nucleotide long non-coding RNA. RefSeq lists it as uncharacterized. The transcript is spliced from 3 exons. NCBI's taxonomy places the organism in Eukaryota, Metazoa, Mollusca, Bivalvia, Ostreida, Ostreidae. The record is from RefSeq and is a predicted model, not a curated record.